RNAcentral lists this ribosomal RNA (455 nucleotides) under uncultured bacterium. RNAcentral's name for it is "bacterial SSU rRNA". It matches the Rfam family "Bacterial small subunit ribosomal RNA", at positions 340 to 786 of the family's 1533-position model. The record is from RNAcentral.
UACGGAAGGCAGCAGUGGGGAAUAUUGCACAAUGGGCGAAAGCCUGAUGCAGCUAUGCCGCGUGUAUGAAGAAGGCCUUAGGGUUGUAAAGUACUUUCAUCGGGGAGGAAAAACAAAACUAAUAAUUUUAUUUCUUGACGUUACCCGAAAAAGAAGCACCGGCUAACUCCGUGCCGGCAGCCGCGGUAAUACGGAGGGUGCUAGCGUUAAUCAGAAUUACUGGGCGUAAAGAGCACGUAGGUGGUUUUUUUAAGUCAGAUGUGAAAUCCCUGGGCUUAACCUAGGAACUGCAUUUUGAAACUGAAAUACUAGAGUAUCGUAGAGGGAGGUAGAAUUCUAGGUGUAGCGGUGAAAUGCGUAGAUAUCUGGAGGAAUACCUGUGGCGAAAGCGGCCUCCUAAACGAAUACUGACACUGAGGUGCGAAAGCGUGGGGAGCAAACAGGGAUUAGAUACC